Long non-coding RNA from Diorhabda sublineata, 2318 nucleotides. RefSeq lists it as uncharacterized. The transcript is spliced from 3 exons. Lineage: Eukaryota; Metazoa; Arthropoda; Insecta; Coleoptera; Chrysomelidae. The record is from RefSeq and is a predicted model, not a curated record.
GUCAAAAUGUUUAUACAUAUAGAGUGGCAGAUCUAUCGAGUAUAUAAUAUUAAGCCUAUACCGACUCCAAACAACCCUAACCUUGCAGAGGAAAAAAUUCCUAUAUCAGGGCCGAAUCAAACAUACCUAAAUUCCCCAAAAAAAUCUUCCUCAUCCUUCCAAACUUUACCCGACUCCAAAUAAUUUCGUUGAUAAGGGUAAAUGCCCAUAAGCAAUUUUUCAUUUCGUGGUUUAUGUGAUAAAAUAAGACUUUUUCAAUUGAAUAUAUUGUUGAAGGAACGUACUAUUUAAGAGGUUUUUAUUAGUUUUUCCCCAGAUCCUUUUGUUGGUAAAGAAAUAAUGGCUUUUAAACAUGUCCUAAAACUUUCCGCCAUCAGUGCUUUUAUAAAUGACAAUAAAAUUAUAAAAAGGGGUGAAAACGCCUUAGAGUCUAGUCAUGUAAAGAAAAUGGACUUUGACUCUGAUUAGCAAGUAAUCAGAGGGGAAGUAUUUGUUAAUAUGAAAGACAAAAGCUACAAGGUGUCUAUAGUGUUGGAAAAGAAUGGUGACAUUAAAGAAGCCACCUACGCUUGUCCCAGGGGUAUAAAAUGCCAUCACAUUGCGGCGUUGGCACUUUUUGGGCAUUGCAAUAUAUCUGUAACAGAUAAAGCUGUUGUGUUGUUGAUGAUCAGCUAAUAAAAGAAAUUUCUGUCAUCACUAAUGGUAAAGUGUCAAAUGAAAAAUUGUACAUUGCAAGAAAAUUUAGAUUAACUGCUAGUAACUUUGGUGCUAUUAUUGCAGCAUGCAGAAGAAACAGAUUCCCAGUGAGUUUGUUCAACACACUCUUAGGUGAGUAAUAAAUCAUAAAUUUAUUACAUAGUUUAGUCAUAGAUGUUAUCAAUAAUUUGCUUAUUGAGCAUCUAAGAUUGGUUUUUCAAAAAGUAGUCUUUUCAAAAAUGGUAUUUUAUGUAGCAUUUCCUUACUUUAGUUUAAUUUGACAUACACUUUUAUUAUAAUCAAUUCAUUAUUUUUCCAAGUGAAUACAAUUUGGAUGGUAUCAAAGCAAUUCAGUGGGGUAGAACUCAUGAAUAAUAUGCUCUAGAUCAUUUGAAGCAGAUUUAUAAUUUAAAUAUUCGGCCAACUGGAGUAUAGCUUACAAACUCGGGACUUCUUGGUGCUAGCACUCAUGGAAUAAUUUAUGAAGAAGAAGCCACUGUAGAAGUGAAAUUGCCCAUAUUCUUUUAGAAAUGAUAAGUUGUCCGAAAAAUUGAGGAAUUUUAAUAAGUAUACAGUUUUUUAUGACGAUGAGGGUAACUUGAUAUUAAAUACAAGUCACACUUAUUAACACAAAAUUCAAGGAGCUUUACAUAUUUUAAAAAAGAAAAAAUGUCACUUAUGUAUUUAUACCUUGAAGGAAACAGUUGUGACAAUUGUAGAUUUUAAUGAUUCAUGGAAAGAAAACAUUUCACUCUUGGAAAAUUUCUAUAUAGAACAAUACUUACCAAAGUUGUUAGACAAUUAAAUGAAAAUUUUUGACAUGAUUUUCAAUGUGAUUUUAAGUUAUUGUCCAGUGUUAGCAGAUAGAGUAUACAGUUGGAAAAAUCUUUACUAUUUAUUUUAAACUGAAAAGCCACUCUAUACAAAUUUUCGUUUGCUGAGGAUAUCAGGAAAUUAUGUUUUUUAAUAUAAAUGUACAAUGCCAUUUUGUCAAUAAAGAUUUUUGAAACAAACUUUAGUUAUUUUAAAUUGCUGUAUUGAAUGUACUAUAGUUGAGUGAUUUUUUUUCUGUACACAAAACUUGUAAAAUAAACUAAAACACUGCUUGUGGCUCGAUAAUUUAUUUGAUGAUUGUAAAGACUGUAGUCUACUGACAAUAAAUUAAAUAGUAUUUGUUUACUCUAUGAAAAUUGUGAUAGGAUUUACAGGCUUUUAUUGAAUUAGAAAAACAGUAUUAUUAUUACUUUUAACAAUAAUUGUAUUGGAUCAAGUAAUUUAUAAAUUAAGUAAAAAAGUUUGGUUGUAGGUCAUGGUAGUGGCUCACUUGAAGGACCUAGUAGUGGUUCGGUUGAAAGUCUUGGUAGCAGCUCGGUCACAAGGUGUUUACAGUUCGUUUCCUAAAAAAAGUGGUUUAUUAGACUAAUGGACUUUCUACAACAAAAUGCAUAUCUUUUUUCUGGUAAUUUUAUAUUAAACUUCCUCUGAAUAUUGAAAUCAAAUAAAGUUGGCCCAUUCUCUUUUUCUUUAUUUAAAAAGUGACAAUCGCACACUUUUGCAAAUUUACUUGGAUCUGUAUAUUUUCUUCUAUAAAUAAAUAAAUUUAAAACAUAAAUCUUUGAAAA